This is a long non-coding RNA of Myotis daubentonii (Daubenton's bat), 5049 nucleotides long. RefSeq lists it as uncharacterized. Lineage: Eukaryota; Metazoa; Chordata; Mammalia; Chiroptera; Vespertilionidae. The record is from RefSeq and is a predicted model, not a curated record.
AGCGGAAGUCGCUCCUGGAGGCUCGUGUCUGGGAGCGGGUGGCCGCGGGCGGCCGCUGGCCUGGCGCUGCCUGCGGCGGAGGAAGGCGGGAGGCCGGAGCCAGACUAAGCUUUGAAUAAAGGAAAUUCAUCAUGAAAUGCUACUAGAAGUUUGAAAAUACAGUUGAAGUAUAAACACUGCCUUUAUAAUUAUUAAAAGUGUGUAUACCCAGGGUGUCUCCCAAAAAAUGUAUACACACUUUAACAGCUGAUGACUCACUAUAGAUUCAAUACAAUUCCUAUUAAAAUACCAACAGCAUAUUUCACAGAUCUAGAACAAACGCUCCAAAAAUUUAUAUGGAAACAAUAAAAGACCUUGGAUAGCCACAGCAGUCUUGAGAAAGAAGAAUAAAGUUGGAGGAAUCACAAUACCAGAUACCAAGUUAUACUACAAAGCCACUGUACUCAAAACAGCCUGGUACUGGCACAAGAACAGGCAUAUAAACUAAUGGAACAGAACAGAGAAUCCAGAAAUCGAUCCAAGCCAUUCAACUCAAUAUUUGACAACGGAGGCAAGAGCAUACAAUGGAGUAAGGACAGUCUCUUCAAUAAAUGGUGUUGGGAAAUUGGACAGGUACACUGAUCAUAAGGAAAAUGCUUUUAGCUUUUUCCAGUUGAGUAUCAUGUUAGCUGUGGGCUUGUCACAUAUGCUUUUUAUCAUGUUGAGGUAAGUCCCCGCUAUUUCAGCUUUGCUGAGAGUUUUUAUCAUAAACGGAUGUUGGAUUAAAAAAAUGUUUUUGUUAGUUUUAGAGAGAGGAAGGGAGAGAGAUAGAAACAUCAAUGAUAAGAGAGAAUCAUGGAUCAGCUGCCUACUGGAGAUCAAGUCUGCAACCUGGGCAUGUGUCCUGACCGGGAAUUGACCCUUGACCUUCUGGUUCAUGGGUUGACAACCAACUACUGAGCAAAACCAGCCAGAUUGAUGCUAGAUUUUGUUGAAUGCUUUUUCUGCAUCUAUUGAUAUGAUCACAUGAUUUUUACCCAUCAUUUUUAAAUGUGGUGUAUCAUGUUAUUUGAUUUGUGGAUAUUGAACUAAUCUCAGGAAUAAAUCUCAGGAAUAAAUCCCACUUGACCGUCGUUUGUGAUCUUUUUAACAUACAACUGGAUUCAAUUUACUAAUAUUUGAGGAUUUUUGCAUCUGUUCAUCAGGCUUUUGGUCUAUAGCAGUGGUCGGCAAACCUUGGCUGCGAGCCACAUGCAGCUCUUUGGCCCCUUGAGUGUGGCUCUUCCUCAAAAUACCACGUGUGGGUGCGCACGUAGAGUGCGAUUGAAACUUCGUGGCCCAUGCACAGAGGUCGGUUUUUGGCCUGGGCGAGUCUAUUUUGAAGAAGUGGCGUUAGAAAAAGUGGGGCGUGUAAAGUCGGUUCGGGCGACAGGAGACGCGGCGCAGGCAGGCGGGCCGUGGGAUACGCAGCACGUGGGAGGUGCGUGUGAUUCAUGCACGGGUUGAGUGAGCCAGUCAGUCAGCAGUCUCAUUGUGCAGUGGUUAGUGCUAUUCGGUCCGCAUAUCGCACGCGGUUGACAAAAGAUAAACAAAACAAGUAUACAAGAUGAGUGUGGAUGGGAGAGUUGGAAGGGGUCGACCUCAGCAAACAUACCUCAAUCGGAUUGAGGUCGUUUUUAGCAAAGGCCAGCUUAGGAGUACCCUAAUUAAAGUUAAUAACAAUGUACCUACCUAUAUAGUUUAAGUUUAAAAAAUUUGGCUCUCAAAAGAAAUUUCAAUCGUUGUACUGUUGAUAUUUGGCUCUGUUGACUAACGAGUUUGCCGACCACUGGUGUAUAUUUUUCUUUUUUUUGUAAUGUCUUUGUCUAGUUUUGGAAUAAGGGUAAAACUGGUCUCAUAAAAUGAGCUUGGGAGUCUUCCCUCAAUUUUUUGGAGUAUGAGGAUAGGUAUUCUUUGAAUGUUUGGUAAAAUUCACCUGUGACAUCAUUCAGUCCUGGACUUUUGUUUAUUCGGAGUUUUUUGAUUACUGAUUUGAUUUUAUUAGUAGUUAUUAGUCUGUUCAGAUUUUCUGUUUCUUUUUUACUAAGUUUUGGAAGGCUGUAUAUUUCUAAAAAUAUAUCCAUCUUCCAGCUCAUCUAAUUUAUUGGUAUAUAAUUAUUCAUAGUAUUUUUUAAACAUAUUCUUUUUUUAAAAAUAGGUAAUUUAAAAUUUUAUUUUUUAUAUAUAUUUUUCUUAAUUUCAGAGAAGGGAGAGGGAGAGAGAGAUGGAAACAUCAGUGAUGAGAGAGAAUCAUUGAUCGGCUGCUGCCUCCUGCAAAUUCCCUACUGGGGACUGAGCGCACAACCUGGGCAUGGGCCCUUGACUGAAUUCGAACCCAGGAUCCUUUAGUCUGCAGGGUGAUGCUCUAUCCACUGAGCAAAACUGGCUAGGGCCAUACAUACUCUUUUUUUGAAAUGUUUGUAUUGAUUUUAGAGAGAGAGGAAGGGAGAGAGAGAGAAACAUUGAUAUGAAAGAGAAACAUCAAUUUCUGCAUCCCAUAUACAUCCCUUCUGGGGAUAGAAUUACAACCUGAAUUGAACUGGUGACCUUUUGGUGCAUGGAACUAUGCUCAACCAAGUGAGCCAUACCAGCCAAACUCGUAGUAUUUCUAUAUGUAAAAGGCUAGUACGCUAAGUGUCCUUCCCACUGUCCGGCUGGUCGCCAUGACGUGCACUGACCACCGGGGGGCAGAUGCUCAACACAGGAGCUGCUGUGAUGUGCACAGAGAAACGGCACUGCGGACCUGGCGCUGACAAAGCAUCACUGGGCCUAUCCCAAGUGGGACACAGGCUCUGCCACCACCCCGAGCGACACCCCACCAAUUCGCAGCCAACACUGCCGAGACCCUGUGGUGCAAAAUGCAACCCACAGCCCAGCCCAGAAAUGGUCACUGUGGGCGCCGGGUAAUGACGUCACAUAGCAACGCCCAGCUUCCUCUUCCUAGUGACGACUAGCCUCUUUGUGGUUUCUUCAGCCCGAGAACACAGGUGGAAACAUGUUACACUUUAACCAAGUGUCUGUGAAGCGUUUUCCUGUGCCUCAUCUCAUUUGAUCCUCACAGAAGUCCUGGUUUAGGUAGAUAGGAGGUUCGGUGGAAUCCUAUUUUCUUUUCAUUAUCCGGAAAAUGGAGAUUUAGAAAGCUUAGAAAUUUGAAAAGAAGUCAGAAAUGAUGGACCUUGCCCUAGCCCAGUGGUCAGCAAACUGCGACUCGCGAGCCACAUGCGGCUCUUUGGCCCCUUGAGUGUGGUUCUUCCACAAAAUACCACGUGCGGGUACAUAUGUACAGUGCGAUUGAAACUUCAUGGCCCAUGCAACCAAGGGCACAUGCCCGGGUUGUGGGCUCGAUCCCCAGUGGGGGGCGUGCAGAAGGCAGCUGAUCGAUGAUUCUUUCUCAUCAUUGAUGUUUAUCUCCCUCUCCCUUCCUCUCUGAAGUCAAUAAAGAAAUAUAUUUUAAAAAGAAAAGAAAUGGUGGACCUUGAAAUUACCUGAAAGAGAAGUUGGGGUGCUUCACUGGGCUGGAAAAAGUUUCAAUCAGAAAGCAGGUCUAAUUAAGCAAGUUUAUCCUAUCUAAUAAAAGAGUAAUAUGUAAAUUAACCAUCACUCUGCGACAAAGGUGGCGGCAUGCAUAGCGGCUAGGGCAGGACGCUGCCAGCGUCACCCUGGCAACGUGAGCUCAGCAGGUAUUGCCUUGGCGACUGGCGAGCAGGCAAGCGCCCACAGCAGGCAGCACCCAGUAGGGCCUGCUCGCGGCACCCUGCCCUGGCCGCAGCUCAAGGGAGAGAACAACACGCAGGCGAGGCCAGGAGCCUGAGAGAUCAAUACAGAGGGUGCCUGCUCCAAGCCUCCGCGGUGUGGCUGGGGGCAGGCCCCCAGUGGACGGACACACACACACACACACACACACACACACACACAGCACCUGCUCUGAGCCUCUGCUGCCAGACUGUGGCUGUCAGUAGGACAUCCACUGAGGGCUCCCAGACUGUGAGAGGGAGCAGGCUGGGCUGAGGGACUCCCCAACCCCCAGUGCAUGAAUUUCGUGCACCGGGCCUUUAGUUCUAUAUAUAUAAAAGGCUAAGUUGACUCGUGCAUGCAUGAUAUAUAUGAAGCUCUUGCUGGUGCCAAUUGAAUGCGUGUGUUUCGAUCUGUCAUUGUCGAUCAUGAAUUAGGUUGACACUUCUAUUAUAGAGAGAGAGCGAAUAGUGAUAUUAAAAUAUUUCUAAUUAAUUUCCUUUCAAUGUGCACGAAUUUGUGCACUGGGCCACUAGUUUUCUUAUAAUCUUUUGUAUUCCAGUGAUGUCACUUCUGUUUCAUUUCUGAUUUUAUUUACUUGGAUCCUCUUUUUUUUCUUUAUGAGUCUGGGUAGAGUUUUAUCGAUUUUAUCUUUUUAAAGACCAGGUCUUGGUUUUAUUGAACUUUUGUAUUAUUUUUUUAGACUUUUGUUUAUUUCUAUGCUGAUCUUGACUAUUUCCUUCCUUCUACUCACUUUGGCUUUGUUUGUUUUUGUUCUUCUAGUUCCUUUAGAUGUAAGUUUGUUUAUUUCAGAUUUUUCUUGAGGUAGGCCUGUGUUGCUAAGAAGUUCCCUCUUAGAACUGCUUUUGCUUUGUCUCACAGAUUUGGGGUCAUUGUAUUUUCAUUUUAUUGUUUCAAGGUAUCAUUUGAUUUCUUCUUUGAUUUCGUUGUUAACCCAUUCAUUGUUUCAUAGUGUGUCAUUUAGCCUCCAUGUAUUUGUGAGUUUUUCAGUUUCCUUCAUGUACUUGAUUUCUAAUUUCAUACUAUUGUAAUUAGAGACAAUACUUGAUAUGAUUUCAUUCUUAAAUUUAUUAAAACUUGUUUUGUGGCUAUUUGAGGCCUUUUUUGGUUCCGUAUAAAUUGUUGGAGUAUUUGUUCUAGAUUUGUGAAAUAUGCCCUUGGUAUUUUAAAAGGGAUUGCAUUGAUUCUGUAGAUUGCCUUGGGUAGUGUGGAUAUUUUAAUGAUGUUGAUUCUACCAAUCCAUGAACAUGGUAUAUCCUUCCACUUAUUUAUAUCUUC